CCCUUAGAUGUCCUGGGCCGCACGCGCGCUACACUGAUGCAUGCAACGAGUUUAUAACCUUGGCCUGAAAGGUCUGGGUAAUCUUUUGAACGUGCAUCGUGAUAGGGAUAGAUUAUUGCAAUUGUUAAUCUUGAACGAGGAAUUCCUAGUAAACGCGAGUCAUCAGCUCGUAUUGAUUACGUCCCUGCCCUUUGUACACACCGCCCGUCGCACCUACCGAUUGAAUGGUUCGGUGAAGAUCUCGGACUUCGAUAUUUAUUCUUUAUUGAGUUUAUAUUGUGGGAAGUUAUCUAAACCUCAUCAUUUAGAGGAAGGUGAAGUCGUAACA
RNAcentral lists this ribosomal RNA (328 nucleotides) under uncultured eukaryote. RNAcentral's name for it is "partial 18S ribosomal RNA". It matches the Rfam family "Eukaryotic small subunit ribosomal RNA", at positions 1470 to 1796 of the family's 1831-position model. The record is from RNAcentral.